GACGAACCGUCCAAACGUUAUUCGGAAUCACUGGGCGUAAAGAGUGUGUAGGCGGUGUUCCAAGUCUGGUGUGAAAUCUCCCGGCUUAACUGGGAGGGUGCAUUAGAAACUGGAAUGCUAGAGGAUGGGAGAGGUAAGCGGAAUUCCUGGUGUAGCGGUGAAAUGCGUAGAUAUCAGGAGGAACACCUGUGGUGUAGACAGCUUACUGGACCAUUUCUGACGCUGAGACACGAAAGCGUGGAUAGCAAACAGG
Molecule: ribosomal RNA, 253 nt
Filed under: uncultured bacterium
Lineage: Bacteria
Description: partial 16S ribosomal RNA
Rfam family: Bacterial small subunit ribosomal RNA
Source: RNAcentral